AUUGAACGCUGGCGGAAUGCUUUACACAUGCAAGUCGAACGGUAGAGGGGGCAACCCCUCGAGAGUGGCGAACGGGUGAGUAAUAUAUCGGAACGUGCCCAGUCGUGGGGGAUAACGUAGCGAAAGUUACGCUAAUACCGCAAACGAUCUAAGGAUGAAAGAGGGGGAUCGCAAGACCUCGCGCGAUUGGAGCGGCCGAUAUCCACUUAGGUAGUUGGGGGGGUAAAGGCUCACCAAGCCACCGAUCUGUAGCUGGUCUGAGAGGACGGCCAGCCACACUGUAACUGAGACACGGUCCAGACUCCUACGGGAGGCAGCAGUGGGGAAUUUUGGACAAUGGACGCAAGUCUGAUCCAGCCAUUCCGCGUGCAGGGUGAAGGCCCUCGGGUUGUAAACUGCUUUUGUACGGAACGAAAAGGUCUCUCUUAAUACGGGGGGCUCAUGACGGUACCGUAAGAAUAAGCACCGGCUAACUACGUGCCAGCAGCCGCGGUAA
RNAcentral lists this ribosomal RNA (496 nucleotides) under uncultured bacterium. RNAcentral's name for it is "partial 16S ribosomal RNA". It matches the Rfam family "Bacterial small subunit ribosomal RNA", at positions 30 to 523 of the family's 1533-position model. The record is from RNAcentral.